This 621-nucleotide small RNA is filed under the name Arabidopsis thaliana (thale cress). Its description in RNAcentral is "ATSL093660". The record is from RNAcentral. Lineage: Eukaryota; Viridiplantae; Streptophyta; Magnoliopsida; Brassicales; Brassicaceae.
UUUGGAUAAAUCCCAAAGUGAUCUAUUUAUAGUGAAAUGUUGAAACCCUAGAUUCACUAGAAGACAAGAGACUUGAGGCGGUUUGGGCGAAUACUCGAUCUUGGGGAUCGAGUAAAGAGGGUGCUGUAAAGUCUGCGCUUUGUGUCUAUGCUCCGAGUGAUCAAUUGGUCGAGUAGAUGCUUCUUCCUCUCCUAUCCGUACGCUCAGAUGUCUGGUUGAGUGGGGAAUGAGGAGGAUCCGAAGACGCUUUGAUAGCUCAACAAGUCUUGUAGAGUUAGUCACCCUUGGUCGAGUAAAUGGGUCUAGUAGAGGAUCGAGUAGGAGGGGCGAGUAGAUCAAUCUGCUGCUUCAUCUAAGGCUGCCUUGAUCGAGUAAGAGGGUCGAGUAAACCGCAGCCUCCUCUGUAGCUGCCUGGAUCGAGUAAGGAGGUCGAGUGAAAUGAUGCCUCUUCUGUAGCUGCCUGGAUCGAGUGAAUGGACCAAGUAGAGUCCUUUUUAGCUCCUUCUGCACCUGAAAACACACCAAAACAUGCAAUGCGUAUGCAAGAUGAUCCUACAUGCCUAAGUAUGCAAAAUAAGCUAAAAUGGUGCAAAAUGAUAUGAUACAAUGAGCAAAUGCACA